GACGAACGCUGGCGGCGUGCUUAACACAUGCAAGUCGAACGGAAAGGCGCUGCUCUUGUGGCGUUCUCGAUUGGCGAACGGGUGAGUAACACGUGAGUAACCUGUCCCUGUCUUUGGGGUAACUUCUGGAGACUGGGGCUCAUAUCGGAUAGGAGCUCUUGCUGCACGGUGUGGGAUGGAAAGUUUCGGCGGUUCGGGAUGGACUGGCGGCUUACCAGCUUGUUGGUGGGGUAGUGGCUUACCAAGGCUUUGACGGAUAGCCGGCCUGGGAGGUUGACCGGCGACAUGGGUACUAAGAUACGGCCCAGAAGCCAACGUGAGGCAGCAGGGGGGAGUCUUGCACAAUGGGCGGAAGCGUGAUGCGGCAGUCCUGCGUGCGGGAUGACGGCCUUCGGGUGGUAAACCGCUUUGGCCGGUGACAAGGCGUUAGUGACGGUAAUGGGUAAAGAAGCACCGGCUAACUACGUG
Molecule: ribosomal RNA, 468 nt
Filed under: uncultured bacterium
Lineage: Bacteria
Description: partial 16S ribosomal RNA
Rfam family: Bacterial small subunit ribosomal RNA
Source: RNAcentral